This 214-nucleotide ribosomal RNA is filed under the name Streptococcus agalactiae. RNAcentral describes it as "partial 16S ribosomal RNA". It matches the Rfam family "Bacterial small subunit ribosomal RNA", at positions 1 to 208 of the family's 1533-position model. The record is from RNAcentral. Lineage: Bacteria; Bacillati; Bacillota; Bacilli; Lactobacillales; Streptococcaceae.
UUUUAAUGAGAGUUUGAUCCUGGCUCAGGACGAACGCUGGCGGCGUGCCUAAUACAUGCAAGUAGAACGCUGAUGUUUGGUGUUUACACUAGACUGAUGAGUUGCGAACGGGUGAGUAACGCGUAGGUAACCUGCCUCAUAGCGGGGGAUAACUAUUGGAAACGAUAGCUAAUACCGCAUAAGAGUGAUUAACACAUGUUAGUUAUUUAAAAGG